RNAcentral lists this ribosomal RNA (497 nucleotides) under uncultured bacterium. Its description in RNAcentral is "partial 16S ribosomal RNA". It matches the Rfam family "Bacterial small subunit ribosomal RNA", at positions 28 to 507 of the family's 1533-position model. The record is from RNAcentral.
GACGAACGCUGGCGGCGUGCCUAAUACAUGCAAGUUGAGCGCUGAAGGUUGGUACUUGUACCAACUGGAUGAGCAGCGAACGGGUGAGUAACGCGUGGGGAAUCUGCCUUUGAGCGGGGGACAACAUUUGGAAACGAAUGCUAAUACCGCAUAAAAACUUUAAACACAAGUUUUAAGUUUGAAAGAUGCUAUUGCAUCACUCAAAGAUGAUCCCGCGUUGUAUUAGCUAGUUGGUGAGGUAAAGGCUCACCAAGGCGAUGAUACAUAGCCGACCUGAGAGGGUGAUCGGCCAAAUUGGGACUGAGACACGGCCCAAACUCCUACGGGAGGCAGCAGUAGGGAAUCUUCGGCAAUAGACGAAAGUCUGACCGAGCAACGCCGCGUGAGUGAAGAAGGUUUUCGGAUCGUAAAACUCUGUUGGUAGAGAAGAACGUUGGUGAGAGUGGAAAGCUCAUCAAGUGACGGUAACUACCCAGAAAGGGACGGCUAACUACGUG